GAAUCCAUAUAGCCGGCCCCAAAUCUUUGAGAUAAAGACUUAGUUCAGUUGAGUUGAAAGUUCGAUGAUACAAUAUUUUAUACUUUUGAUCAAUGGAUUGAUGUAAACUGCCGUUGGAUCUAUGACUAGCAAGAUGACAGAAUGGCCUAGAUUAGCAAUUAAAUAGGUAUAAUCAGCGAUUCUCGGCCAAUAUAAUUUUACAGAGAAAAAGAAAAGAAAAAACAAUUCAAGCUAGUAUAAAUUGCAGCCUACAUGAAAAGCAUUGUAAGAAGAAG
Molecule: unclassified non-coding RNA, 275 nt
Filed under: Hevea brasiliensis (rubber tree)
Lineage: Eukaryota; Viridiplantae; Streptophyta; Magnoliopsida; Malpighiales; Euphorbiaceae
Source: RNAcentral